Molecule: transfer RNA, 67 nt
Filed under: Eragrostis curvula (weeping love grass)
Lineage: Eukaryota; Viridiplantae; Streptophyta; Magnoliopsida; Poales; Poaceae
Description: tRNA tRNA-Ala
Source: RNAcentral
UCUUAGCCUAGUGGUUAAGGCAUCCGAGUAGCAUAUUUGAGGUCUUGGGUUCGACUCCCGGUGAGAG